Molecule: ribosomal RNA, 477 nt
Filed under: Cladosporium fungal contaminant 'Hungary 1b'
Lineage: Eukaryota; Fungi; Ascomycota
Description: eukaryotic LSU rRNA
Rfam family: 5.8S ribosomal RNA (bases 129-283)
Source: RNAcentral
UNUUNAAUANCCCUUUGGUNGNNGANUNNGUUGCNUCNGGGCGACCCUGCUUUCGGCGGGGGCUCCGGGGUGACACUUCAAACUCUGGGGUAACUUGCCAGUCUGAGUAAACUUAAUUAGUAAACUAAAACUUUUAACAACGGAUCUCUUGGUUCUGGCAUCGAUGAAGAACGCUAGCGAAAUGCGAUAAGUAAUGUGAAUUGCAGAAUUCAGUGAAUCAUCGAAUCUUUGAACGCACAUUGCGCCCCCUGGUAUUCCGGGGGGCAUGCCUGUUCGAGCGUCAUUUCACCACUCAAGCCUCGCUUGGUAUUGGGCAACGCGGUCCGCCGCGUGCCUCAAAUCGUCCGGCUGGGUCUUCUGUCCCCCUAAGCGUUGCAGGAAACUAUUCAGCUAAAGGGUGUUCGGGAGGCUACGCCGUAAAACAACCCCAUUUCUAAGGUUGACCUCGGAUCAGGUAAGAAUACCCGCUGAACUUAA